GUGACUGCGUACCUUUUGUAUAAUGGGUCAGCGACUUAUAUUCUGUAGCAAGGUUAACCGUAUAGGGGAGCCGUAGGGAAACCGAGUCUUAACCGGGCGUUAAGUUGCAGGGUAUAGACCCGAAACCCGGUGAUCUAGCCAUGGGCAGGUUGAAGGUUGGGUAACACUAACUGGAGGACCGAACCGACUAAUGUUGAAAAAUUAGCGGAUGACCUGUGGCUGGGGGUGAAAGGCCAAUCAAACCGGGAGAUAGCUGGUUCUCCCCGAAAGCUAUUUAGGUAGCGCCUCGUGAAUUCAUCUCCGGGGGUAGAGCACUGUUUCGGCUAGGGGGCCAUCCCGGCUUACCAACCCGAUGCAAACUGCGAAUACCGGAGAAUGUUAUCACGGGAGACACACGGCGGGUGCUAACGUCCGUCGUGAAGAGGGAAACAACCCAGACCGCCAGCUAAGGUCCCAAAGUCAUGGUUAAGUGGGAAACGAUGUGGGAAGGCCCAGACAGCCAGGAUGUUGGCUUAGAAGCAGCCAUCAUUUAAAGAAAGCGUAAUAGCUCACUGGUCGAGUCGGCCUGCGCGGAAGAUGUAACGGGGCUAAACCAUGCACCGAAGCUGCGGCAGCGACGCUGAUGCGUUGUUGGGUAGGGGAGCGUUCUGUAAGCCUGUGAAGGUGGCCUGUGAGGGUUGCUGGAGGUAUCAGAAGUGCGAAUGCUGACAUAAGUAACGAUAAAGCGGGUGAAAAGCCCGCUCGCCGGAAGACCAAGGGUUCCUGUCCAACGUUAAUCGGGGCAGGGUGAGUCGACCCCUAAGGCGAGGCCGAAAGGCGUAGUCGAUGGGAAACGGGUUAAUAUUCCCGUACUUGGUGUUACUGCGAAGGGGGGACGGAGAAGGCUAUGUUGGCCGGGCGACGGUUGUCCCGGUUUAAGCGUGUAGGUGUGUGUUCCAGGUAAAUCCGGUUCACUUUAACACUGAGGCGUGAUGACGAGGCACUACGGUGCUGAAGCAACAAAUGCCCUGCUUCCAGGAAAAGCCUCUAAGCAUCAGGUAACAUCAAAUCGUACCCCAAACCGACACAGGUGGUCAGGUAGAGAAUACCAAGGCGCUUGAGAGAACUCGGGUGAAGGAACUAGGCAAAAUGGUGCCGUAACUUCGGGAGAAGGCACGCUGACACGUAGGUGAAGUGAUUUACUCAUGGAGCUGAAGUCAGUCGAAGAUACCAGCUGGCUGCAACUGUUUAUUAAAAACACAGCACUGUGCAAACACGAAAGUGGACGUAUACGGUGUGACGCCUGCCCGGUGCCGGAAGGUUAAUUGAUGGGGUCAGCGCAAGCGAAGCUCCUGAUCGAAGCCCCGGUAAACGGCGGCCGUAACUAUAACGGUCCUAAGGUAGCGAAAUUCCUUGUCGGGUAAGUUCCGACCUGCACGAAUGGCGUAAUGAUGGCCAGGCUGUCUCCACCCGAGACUCAGUGAAAUUGAACUCGCUGUGAAGAUGCAGUGUACCCGCGGCAAGACGGAAAGACCCCGUGAACCUUUACUAUAGCUUGACACUGAACAUUGAGCCUUGAUGUGUAGGAUAGGUGGGAGGCUUUGAAGCGUGGACGCCAGUCUGCAUGGAGCCGGCCUUGAAAUACCACCCUUUAAUGUUUGAUGUUCUAACGUGGACCCGUGAUCCGGGUUGCGGACAGUGUCUGGUGGGUAGUUUGACUGGGGCGGUCUCCUCCUAAAGAGUAACGGAGGAGCACGAAGGUUGGCUAAUCCUGGUCGGACAUCAGGAGGUUAGUGCAAUGGCAUAAGCCAGCUUGACUGCGAGCGUGACGGCGCGAGCAGGUGCGAAAGCAGGUCAUAGUGAUCCGGUGGUUCUGAAUGGAAGGGCCAUCGCUCAACGGAUAAAAGGUACUCCGGGGAUAACAGGCUGAUACCGCCCAAGAGUUCAUAUCGACGGCGGUGUUUGGCACCUCGAUGUCGGCUCAUCACAUCCUGGGGCUGAAGUAGGUCCCAAGGGUAUGGCUGUUCGCCAUUUAAAGUGGUACGCGAGCUGGGUUUAGAACGUCGUGAGACAGUUCGGUCCCUAUCUGCCGUGGGCGCUGGAGAACUGAGGGGGGCUGCUCCUAGUACGAGAGGACCGGAGUGGACGCAUCACUGGUGUUCGGGUUGUCAUGCCAAUGGCACUGCCCGGUAGCUAAAUGCGGAAGAGAUAAGUGCUGAAAGCAUCUAAGCACGAAACUUGCCCCGAGAUGAGUUCUCCCUGAGACUUAGAGUCUCCUGAAGGAACGUUGAAGACGACGACGUUGAUAGGCCGGGUGUGUAAGCGCAGCGAUGCGUUGAGCUAACCGGUACUAAUGAACCGUGAGGCUUAACCUU
This 2354-nucleotide ribosomal RNA is filed under the name Salmonella enterica. RNAcentral's name for it is "partial 23S ribosomal RNA". It matches the Rfam family "Bacterial large subunit ribosomal RNA", at positions 593 to 2925 of the family's 2925-position model. The record is from RNAcentral. Lineage: Bacteria; Pseudomonadati; Pseudomonadota; Gammaproteobacteria; Enterobacterales; Enterobacteriaceae. RNAcentral also lists the same sequence under 1 other name.